Long non-coding RNA from Hevea brasiliensis (rubber tree), 1438 nucleotides. RefSeq lists it as uncharacterized. The record is from RefSeq and is a predicted model, not a curated record. NCBI's taxonomy places the organism in Eukaryota, Viridiplantae, Streptophyta, Magnoliopsida, Malpighiales, Euphorbiaceae. The transcript has 2 exons.
UUGUUUUGCCUAGCAUACACAUUUAUUUUUUUUUUUUUUUCCUAUCUCGCACCUCAACUCAAUAAAAAUAUGUCAUUCAACAAAAAUUUGCACAUGGCCCAGAAAGUUUGAGCUGGCAAAUGUCUGCCAGAUGGACAGUAAACAUUUGAGCCGGCACCUCUAUAUGUGAAAGAUGGUUCUGAGUUUAAAAAACAAGUUUGGAGGAAAAAUCUCACCCUCUCAAAUUAUUCUUCAAAGAAUCCGAGAAUUUGCAACCCUGUUUACUUAUCCAAGAGAGCAAUUUUUUAGAGACCAUGUCCUUGCCUCAUGCCUGCUGCCAUCUCCUUGCCUCAUACCCUCUCCAUGGUUGCUUGUUCACCAGUUUCCCUAAUCUCAACACUCAUUGGGAGAGGAAGAGUAGUUUCAGUGAAUGCUAGAGUUCAGAAAGAACGCAGCUGCAUUCGGAGUGGAAGAGUGUGAUUGGAUUAAAGGUUUCGGUGGAAGAGUGUUUAGGUCUCCUACUUUGUUUGAGGACAUGGUCAAGUGCAUUCUUCUCUGCAAUUGCUAAAAAUGCUAGGCCCAAAUGUUGAAGAAACUAUUUCAACCAAGAGAGGAAACUGCAGUAGUGCAAAUAAAGUAACAGGUGCACAAGCGGUUAGGCCAAUUGGAAUUGUGAUCCAUUUCACUCUAUGAAACAAAACCAAGUGAAAGGCUGCUGUGAAUGCUACAAGCAUGGAGGCUAUUGAAAAGAAUAAUGUGAUAAGACCGAUGCUCAACCUCAUUGGCAAGGCCUUGAGAAAAUCUUCUUCAGAAUAGCGUGAUGUGAGUAUUCCCAGAAACAUAAGCAAUGAGGUUGAGGAAGAAAAAAGUCCCAAGGCAUCUGAUACCGCAAAAAUCAUGAAAGAUGUUUCUUUUAAAUAAAUGGGGAUCCCUUGUUCGCUAUGGUUGCCGCCUGGUACAGUGAAAGCUGCUGCAAACACAACUGUGACCACAAGUGCAGCGACUGUUGCGCAUGAUGAAGCUGUAUCCUUCAUCCAUUUCUCACCUUUCCCAACUAGAUCCUUGUGUUCCUCAGUGAAAACCUCCCUCGGAAUUUUUCCAUCUUUAUUUUUCAUUUCCUUGUAUGAUGGUUGGACAACCUUUUCCACUUCCUGUAUAAAAUUUCAGAAAGAAAUGAUGUUAAAAAAAAAAAAAAAAGGGACAGGACAAAAUCUUGACUACUACUUUGCUGUUUGCAAGAGGAAAUGCCAUCUAAAUAAGAUUUAGUAUUGGAGAAUUUAUAACCUUGAACCAUUGCAACUCCCUUUGCAUUUGCAGAGCAGCACCAGAUAUCUUGUUUGAUGGUUCCAACUUCCCUGCUAAAUGCAACAUGUUGUUGCCAAAGUCAUCCUCUAGUGAUGUAGCAAAAAGAUUAUGCGUACCCAUUUGAUAUAGGAGAUUGAAUAUUUUUUCUUGGCGA